Lolium perenne is the source of this 561-nucleotide non-coding RNA. NCBI's taxonomy places the organism in Eukaryota, Viridiplantae, Streptophyta, Magnoliopsida, Poales, Poaceae. The record is from RefSeq and is a predicted model, not a curated record.
CACCCAAUGCAGGCAAAGCAAAAAAGAAACGGAAAGGAACACAAAAUCACGCAAGAAAAUUACCCAACGCCCGACUCCCUCCAUUCUCGUUCUCUCUGCCAGCGCCGCGUUGGGUUGAGGGCCGCUCGCCGCCGCUCCGUCUGUAUCCCCUCCCACCGCCGGUCCUCCGGCUCCUCCUCCGGUUGAUUCCCUCACUAGCGCCGCAUCCACACAUGCCUCCAAUAGCAGACCAUAGCAUCUUAUCCACACGCAGAUCCUCCGCGCGCGUGCGUCACGAGGACGUCAAGUCCCUGCCGCCGUUGGCAGGCGGCUCCACCCCAGCAACAUCCCCUCGGAUUCGCCCCGUUCGUCCCCUCCAGCGUGCUCGCCCGCAGGAAACAUGGCCUAGCUGCUUAUGUACAUCAAGGCCGGUAGAGAUAAGGAUUGUCUGCCUAGAGUUGGCCAGUGGAACAUGAUGAACAAGAAAAUAGGCAAUGGUGGUAAUGUCAGGAGCUGCAUGUGUGUCAACUUCGACCGAAACGUGCAAGAUAGUGUGGCUACCGAAUUAUGCCUCAGGAAUGG